Molecule: ribosomal RNA, 490 nt
Filed under: uncultured bacterium
Lineage: Bacteria
Description: partial 16S ribosomal RNA
Rfam family: Bacterial small subunit ribosomal RNA
Source: RNAcentral
AUUGAACGCUGGCGGCAGGCCUAACACAUGCAAGUCGAACGGUAACAGGAAGCAGCUUGCUGCUUCGCUGACGAGUGGCGGACGGGUGAGUAAUGUCUGGGAAGCUGCCUGAUGGAGGGGGAUAACUACUGGAAACGGUAGCUAAUACCGCAUAAUGUCGCAAGACCAAAGAGGGGGACCUUCGGGCCUCUUGCCAUCGGAUGUGCCCAGAUGGGAUUAGCUUGUUGGUGGGGUAACGGCUCACCAAGGCGACGAUCCCUAGCUGGUCUGAGAGGAUGACCAGCCACACUGGAACUGAGACAAGGUCCAGACUCCUACGGGAGGCAGCAGUGGGGAAUAUUGCACAAUGGGCGCAAGCCUGAUGCAGCCAUGCCGCGUGUAUGAAGAAGGCCUUCGGGUUGUAAAGUACUUUCAGCGGGGAGGAAGGGAGUAAAGUUAAUACCUUUGCUCAUUGACGUUACCCGCAGAAGAAGCACCGGCUAACUCCGUG